Molecule: microRNA, 20 nt
Filed under: Ciona intestinalis (vase tunicate)
Lineage: Eukaryota; Metazoa; Chordata; Ascidiacea; Phlebobranchia; Cionidae
Description: cin-miR-4115-3p
Source: miRBase by way of RNAcentral
AGAGCGGGAGUGCAGAUAAC